CUGCUCACUUCGGCAUCACAUGUACUAAAAUUGGAAGAAUACAGAGAUUAGUAUGGCCCCUGCGAGAGGAGGACAUGCAAAUUCGUGAAGCGUUCCAUAUUUUU
This is a small nuclear RNA of Erinaceus europaeus (western European hedgehog), 104 nucleotides long. Lineage: Eukaryota; Metazoa; Chordata; Mammalia; Eulipotyphla; Erinaceidae. The record is from Ensembl.